GGGGGUAGGAAAAUGAAUUCAGUUUCUGUAGUGGUGGUGGGAGUAGAAAGUGCGGGGCAAACACAGGCUCUGUCGGGAGGAACAAAAAGCUACCCACCUGUUGUGUCUCAUAUUAAUGUCUGUGCUCCUUGAUCUUAACAUCACAGCACCUUUCUUUUGAAUUUUGUUCUCUUUGAAUCAUUCAUUGUUGCAUCUUCAGCAAGGGAAAGCAAUAUUCCUGACAUAAUCCCUAUUCUGUGAAAAGAGAGCUUAAGAAAAAUGUGUAAGGACCAUUACUUUUAUUUCAUUGCAGAAAUGUUGAAACAGGGAGAGAAUUAAAAAACAGCUACCAUCUAAAGCUAUGGUUCCUUAACUAUUUUGUUAGCCUACUUUAUGGUGUAGCUGUAGUGGUACUUAUGAUUGCUAGCAGAAAACAGAUUGUGGUGUAAGACAAAGAAUGGGUCGUCAAGGGCCAAGGAGAAGGAUGACCAUACUGACCUCAAAUAAGAUUGAAAUGGUGCAUUGAAAGUUAAAAUUGGUGCAUUAGACCACACAUCUUAUCACUGAUUUACAGAAUGAGGGAGAAAACCUAAUCUCUAUUGGAUUUGUCACAUGCUGUUCAAAUUUUAUUAAAAUAACACAAAAAAGUUCCUCUUAAAAAAAAAAAAAAUAAUUUUAAAGCAUUCUGUCAGUCUUGACAAAUAAUAAUCAUAACAAAUUAUUCAGCUGUAUCACUGUUAAUAUAUACUUAUAUCACUCCAUGUGGAGUAACAUUAGGAUGAUUUCUUUAUUAUUUCAGCCCCUUCUUUUUCUGUACUACCAGUUCUGGUGGAAUGCCUGUCCAUUCCACCUGACUGAUUGAGUUUUAUGAGGGCUGCUCCAAAAGCAAUGCCUCCUAUUUUAUUGUGUUGACCCACAGCAUCAAAGGCAUUGGUAGUAUGGCAGUAGAGACUGAACCUUGCCAACAGUAUUCCAUUACAUUUUGUUACUGUGCAACAAGUGUCAGCAGAGAGGCAGUCUGACAAAAUGGUAUCUGACUUGGAAGUGCAUAUGAAGCAAAGGUGUGUCAUAGAAUUUCUCCAUGUAGAAAAAAAAUGGCACUCAUUGACACUCAUCAACAUUUGUUGAAUGUUCAUGGAGUCCGAACAGCAGAUGUGAGCAUAGUGAGAUGGUGGGUGUUGCAUUUCAGCAGUCACAACAGUUAUGUGAAAGACAAACCAUGUUCCAGAGACAUUAUUUUUGGAGCAACCUACAUAAUAGCUCAUAGAUAUCCUCACGAUGCUGCACUUAAAUAUGAUUGCUUUAGUCGAACAACAGCAUGUGGAAGAAAAUAAUGAUAACAAUAAUUGUAAAGUAGCAAAAUGGUUAGUUGUAUCUCCAUCUCACUGAAAUGGUCAUAUGCAAUUUAAUGCACUGAAUCAGUAGUUACAAAUUCAGAACAUUUCCCUAUCUCUAUACAAGUAUGUGUCUGUAUAUAUACAUGCAUACAUAUAUAUUUGUAUCCCUCGUGGGAACAAUAAUCACACACUCACUCUGGUUUCAUGAUACACCAUAUGACCAUGUGUGUAUAUACAGAAUGACUGAUAGAUGAUGCACUGUAUCAUUCCUAUACACAAACAUACCCAACUCUGUCAUUUUCCUGACUUUGUUGUAGGUCUUUACCAUUCUUGUCUCCCCAUUUUUAUCUUCUGAGGUGGCACCUAACAAAAGCAAAGCAUCACAACCCUUGGAUUAAAAUGCCAGUAUCAUUAUUGCUACUUCUGUUGGACAUAAGUAAAAUCUUCCUCUUCUUGAAAACGUUCCAGAUUUCUGUAUGUUUAUGUUUGCUUGUAAGGCUGUACUCUAUUACCUAUGAGUGGAAAUUAAGAAAGAAAAAAAAUGCAUCUUUUUUCCUGUCUGAGUUAAUCUUCUAUUGACAACUGACACGCAGUAUUAUUUUGUAUUUUUGUCAUUUUUUAUUAAAUUGUGUACUACUAAAUAAAAUAUUUUAGAGAAAUCUGCUAUAUUAUUACUAUCUUUAUUAGGCAACUUUCAUCAACAACAGAAUUGAGAGAUAUAAAAUGUACUUCCUGCAAGCCCACAGUGAUGUACAUUAAUUACAUUACUCUCCUUAAUUACUUGUUAAUUGUUUUUUACAUUAACCAUUCCAUUAGUUUUCUCUGUAUCAUCAUCAGGCUCACAAGCUUAUAUUUACAUGUAUUAUCCAGUUUACUGCUUAAAAUGUCAUUAAGUUUCUUCUGAAUGCUACCAUAUUUUUCCAACUGGAAUAAUGGGGAAAAAAAAGGAUCUAUAUACUCCCCCGCCAUCCCUUCUAAAAUAAUGAGAUACAAAUUACACAGAACUGCAUUUUAAAAUUAUAAACUUCGGUAUCAACUCAUUAAUGUCAUCCUAAAUUAUUCUUGAUAUGGAAAUAUUUAAUAGUCUCAGCCCUACCAAACAUCUGUCUCUUCCCAGAUACACAACAGAAAUGCAUAUUGAUCCCUUUAAUUAACUGUUACUAAAGCCAAGGUUUCCUUCUGGUAAUUAAUCACUAUCAGGUUUCUUGCAGUUUUGGUUUACUCGGGAAAUUAUUCCUUACGCAACAUGGGAGGUAACUCAUUCUUUGUACCUGUUCCACUUGAUUAAACUUCCACAUUCUUAAUCUCUGUCUUAUGAUCAGAAUUAUCUUUUCUUAUGAAAUUCUGACUUUAUAUCUGCUUGGUGUUUUAACUGGUGUGAUGUUCCUUUUGGAGAAAGGUAAUGACUUUUUAAAGCAGUAUUGAUGCUUAGAAGUAUUCUUAGUAUGCUCCUAAUUAGCAUUCAUGAUUUUCUGUAAUUAUUUCUCAUCUCUUACUAUUAUGGUCUCCGAUUGUUUUUCCUUUUGAAUUGAUUUAUUCUAAAGCUAUAAGUAUGAUAGUGGUUUGGACACUAGUCAUUCCUGCAGAUUACAGUGCAUUCUAUCACAACUUCUUGUACAGAAGUUACCACUGAUUUAUAGGUCUGUGAUCUGUUUUCUUCAUCUGCUAAGAUGACUUCUUACAGAAUCUACUUGUUUUGGACAGAGUAUUUUUUUUAGUGAGAAAUCUGUUGCCUCUAAACACUCUGUAAAUGGAACUGUCUCCUCUCCCAUGCCCACAAAUGUUACUCAUAAUGCAGUUAUUAUAAUACUGAUAUAUUCCCUUUCUUUUUAAAAUGCAGGUGCAAUUGUCUCAGGAUUUUAAUUUGCUGCUGUAGUCUGUAGAGGUCAUCAAUCAGUAAACUAUGUUGUAUUUAUCUGUUAUAGCACUGAUUUCAUAAGCAUUUGGCAUCAUGUUGCUCUUGAGCUGUAAGAAACGAUCAAUUUAAUUUUUGACAUAAAAUGCCAUUUUCCUUUCAUUUUUUUCAAGUCACUCAUUUAUAAAAGCCUUAAUUACUUCUUUUUCAACAGCUGAAGUAUAAUAGGCACCCCAACAGCCUUCAGUAGUAAAACCUCGGUUUUCUGAUAUAUAGGCUGAACUCCCAGUGUUGUUGUACAGGCCAACAAAUUACCUCCUUAUUAUUUUCCAAUGUCCGUGUGAGUUCAGGAUGCUGAAGACCAGCAUUAGUCUGCAUUAGCAAUGACAACAGGUACCAGAUGUUCCUGCUGGUGUUGGUGACGAUGUUUUUACUGAGACAGAACCUCUACCAUAGCUGCGUGACAUACAGCUGGUGAUGCCGAAUCAGUGCAGAUGUACGAUGCGUUUCCCCAGUUGUAGGGCUUUUCUGCAAAAUAAACUAUGCUAUCCUUUUCAUGAACAACUGCCAGCCAAAAUGAUCACAUCUUGCUCUCUCUUCCAGAAAACCAAGAGAUAAGAAUGAUUCUACAAAAGUCUUUUCAUUGGAAUCAAAGCAAUUUUUUCAAAUGUUUCCAGCCACCUCAGUUGUUCAACCCACUUUCUGAACGACUGCACCCUCUAUUGGGGUGAUUCUCUAAUGGACCAAUGAAAGCCAACAAUGACAAGUUGUGGUCAACAGUCCUUGAAUGUGCUGAUGGUUCUGCUUUCAUUACUCUUGUCAGCAGUGUUGUCCGCACAUUUUCGGGUCUGCGAGCCAUAUACAGACUACAAAGGACGCUACCACUUUGGUUUUCACUGCCCCCGUCUUUCUGACAAUAAAUCUUACAUCUUUUGCUGUCACCAUAACAACACAGUAUUUAAAUACUGCUGCAAUGAGACAGAAUUUCAGACUGUUAUGCAGAUGAAUUUAACAGGGAAUGCAGAUGGAUAUAUGCAUAACAACUACAGCGCACUCCUAGGGGUGUGGAUCUAUGGUUUUUUUGUGGUGAUCUUGCUGGUACUGGACCUUUUAUAUUACUCUUCAAUGAACUAUGAUAUUUGCAAAUUUUACCUAGCACGGUGGGGAAUCCAGGGAAAGUGGAUGACACAAGGACAGAGCCGAUGGAUUAGUUCUGCUCAGGACCCAAGCCAAGUACAGACUCAGCCUCAGCCAGAGACACAGCCUCAAACUCAGCCUCAGCCACAGCCUCAGACAUCACAGACAGUACAUACUCUAAAAGGAGAUGCUUUAAGCCCACCCCUGAUGUCUUUUCAGAGUACAUCUGCCUGUGCUCAUAAAUCAGAAGUUUGAACACUUUGUAUGUCCUUCACAACUACUCAACGUCUCCCCAGCUGGGCGGUUCAGGAGAGUUGUGUUGGGGAGUAUCUGCCAGAAACUAUCAGAUGAAACACAUGACUACUAACUGAAAAAUACAUGCUUUCAGAAGCACGGAAUUACUUCAGAAACCAUCAUUCACAGUUCAGGAAUUAUUAUUCACAAAAAGUAUAUUGAUGUGCCUCAGGAUGGGAGAGGUAAGAUCAGACUCCAUGGAGCAGCUUUCAAGGAAACCAACUCAAUGACAAGAGUUUAAAAAAUGGUGGAUAAGCAGCAGAGAGAAAAAAAUGACGGGAUGGAGGUUGACCAAGUCAUCUGGAGAGAAACAUCUUUCAGACAACCUCAAUAGGCAAACAAUGUAGAAAGAGUUUCCAGAAGAAGGUAGUCCGUAAGCAAUAUUUUAAUUUUAGACCAACAAUAUUAUCUUUGAAAGGAAGCAUAAUGUUUGGGAAAGUGCUCAGUAGGAAGAAAAUCAAGUUGCUCUGGCAAAUCUGGACAAAGGUGGGAAAAGAUCACAAGACAAACCUUUGGUAGCUAACUUUUCUUUGCCUCCCCAUCCAUCUAUUGCCAUUUGAGCCUAAUCUAAAUGUCAGAAUAAGGAAUGUGAGUUUUUCCAAAGUUCUCUGGUGAUGACUUUGUCACAAUAGAGUAGAUGCUGGCAGUCCCCAUGUUGUCAUGCAUAAAAAGGUGUGUGAAGCCUUCACCACCAAUCAAACUGCAGGGUAGCAGCUGAUUCAGCCUUAGUGCACAUUUUAAGAUCAUUGGCAAUGAUUUUGCUAAGAUAUCAAAUACCUGAAUACAUCUCAGCUUCAGCUUCACAUGCCUUUCUGAAGAGGGGAGCUUUUAUUAGGAAGCAACAGGCGCCCGAUUCCUCCCCCACACUCCUUGAAGCUGAAAGAAUAUUAGAAGACAAGCAACAACCUUUAUAUUACAAAAGCAAUAAUAGCAUUGUCCCUCUGCUUUACAAGGCAAUAAUCCAAUUCCCUCAGCCACUGACUGGCGUCAGAGUUUAUCCCUCUCAAAUCUAAGGGUUCAUUUGUAAGUCAAAAGAGCAAUGAUACUGCCACAGAAGCACAUGGAGUACUUGGUCACUAAGUUAUGAUAGCUUAGCUUAACUUUUCACAGGACAGGUUUACUUAAAAAUCACACAAUCUCAAUGACACGAGCUAAUUCUGUGAAAUGUAAUCAUUUGUUAAGAUCUAUGUAUGGAGAACCUGGCAAUGACAACUAAACAGAGUUCAUCUAGAAAUUGCAACACAGCGUCAUGCUAAUACCAAAUUAAUUUUUCCUGCCUAAUCUUCUGUCCUGCAGAUACAAGUAAUUUUAUAAUAAUGACAUGUUUUAUUGUACAACCAGCAUGAAGAACACCUUGCCAGUGAUUAUAAAGAAGCACCUUGUGAAUAAUUACUUUUUUAUUAUUUUUUUUUUAGCCUUUUUGAUUUGAGAGCAUUUUAGUCUUAAGGUGAACUCAAAAGGGAUAGAUUCCUGAGAGAUCUGAGCUAAUUCAUAGCUACUGGAGUGCAUGACAGUAUGCAUGACGGAACCCCCCAGGAACAAUUACUGUUGGGGGAGCCAGCAGGACUAGAGAGCAUAGGAGUUCCUGGUCUACAACGAAGACCCAAUCUGAAGAGGAUACUGAUAUGCUCAAGUCCCUUUUCUUUGCAAUCCAAAUGGUAAAAAUAACAAAAGCAAAGUACCUCUAGAUAAUGUCAGGCAACAACUAUCAAGAACUCAAAUGCCGCAGAUAAGUAUGCCAGCCUGCAGGCAUUAGGCUCCAUCUUGCUCUAGGUAAGCAGAAGGCUGACUGCUUCUCUUCACAGAAUGUGUGUUCUUCUUUGCAGCACUUCAAAUAAAAAGCACUCAGUACUUUUUAAACCUUGUUUCACUCCAAACACGGCAGACCUUAGUUUUUCACAAGAACGUUUCAUUAGCGCAUGGCAGAAGCAUUCAAGGAAGUUCAGCUGGGAACAAAAAAAGAACCUCCUGCAAACAAGCACCAUAAGUAGCUUGCAGACAUCAGCACAGCACCAGUUGCUCUAUCGUGGUAGCCUGGAGCUUCAGCAGGGUCAUGAGCCGAGCUCUGAGUGCUGGCAAAUCUCUCCCAGUGAGGAUGCAUGGCGACUCUAGCAGGGCCGCCUUGCAAGAACAGCAAGGAACCCAAGUAGGUGGAAAAAAACACUAUCCAUGCCUCUGCAGGCAUUGUGUCCCUCAGCCAUUGUGUCUCUCCCACUUCCACAUUGGCUCUAAGAUUCACAGUCCCUUGCAGGCAGCCACCAAAGUAUCUAUGCCUACAGCAGUCAGUCCCACCUUGGUGUUUUGCAGUAGCUGUUUGCUCCUUUGGCCUUCUGUCAGCAUCUUCUUUCAUUGUGAGGUGAUGGGCCACAGAGAGCUUUGUAAAAACUUAUGUUCAUGGAGGAAUUUGUAUUAGAUACUGGUUUGUGUGAAUUACUGUAUUUUGUAAGGGUUUUUUUCCCUCUGGGAAUUGUGCGUUAUUAAUGAGCAGUUUUAUGCUUUACUUCUAGUACAUGUAUACCUUGUAAUUGAUGAGAGGUUUUCUUUGUUUCCCUUUGAUUCUGUAUAAAAAGCCAGUUAAUAUAAGGUAGAUACUCUCUGGCUGAAGUUCUGAUUUUGCCUACCAAUUAAUUUAUGGAUAAAUCCACGUAGUAGCUGAUGAUGUUCAUCAACUGUGUUGCUAUAAUCACCUGAUAGCCUACCUAGUUUUGCAGAAUAAUAAGACCUUGAAUAAGACUAAUGCUUGCUGGGCCUUAAACUAAAGGGAAACAGCGCACACACAUUUCUCAACCUCAACUGCUGUCAGCCCUUCUCCCAUACUGAUUUCCCGUACUGACAAGAUAUUGCAGAAGAGCACUGCUAGACAAAAGGUAGCCUGAACAUGCCAAACUUCUGCAUAGCAGAGCUCUGAUAGCACCAUGCAUUCACCUAGCCUAUGUAACUGUGGUGUACCAGAUGAACUGCAAUGAAUCAUUCAAUUAUUUCCGGAGAAAUAGCCUGGUUCAAACAUAAUCUCUCUAUACAAGAAAAGACCUGGGCUAAAAUAUAUUUCUCAGCGUUCAUCCUGAUACAGUUGGAAAAACAAAGGAUAUAAAAUUAACAAAAAGUGCAUAAUUUCAUUGUACACCCUGUACACCAAUGGCAGCUACUUCAGUGGCUGUUAAUUACAUUUGUGUUCCAGAAGCCUCCCUCCUUCCUUGUCCAGUUCAUCUUCUCUCCUACAUUUUACUGAGAACUGAGUGUCCAACUUCUUAAUAAUUGCUGUGCGUAACAUAGAACAUAAAAAGAUACAUAAUACAGCUUGUGCAGGACUUGGUGUUGUAAUUAACCAUAUUUCGUGCCUGGUUAUCGAUUGUACAAAAACAGAAAGUGACAACAACCUGGCCUUUUAAUGUAUACAUCAGCAUAUUGUAGCAGCUAUUUUAGAUAACUGUUUUUAAUAGUUUUAUUAUGGUUGUAAUUUCUAUACGAGGACUGUCCACUUGUAGAAGCGUUGAAGUAAUGCAUCAAAGCAGUUUUUAAAGCCAGUUCUAUUUAAUUACCAGUGGUGAUGUAUGAAAAUUAGGACAACUGAAACAAAACCCAAAACCCAACCAACUCACUGGAAGGAAACAUAUUUUCUCAUCCUUGAAAAUUCUACUGCAUAAGACAGACAUUUUUUUCUAGUCCUCUUUUUACAUAAGUAGUAAAUCACUAUGAAGAUAAUAUAUACAGUACAAUAGUCCAUUUUAAUAGUCUACAGUCAAAUUUUAGGCUAAUUAAGCUAACUAGAAAUUCUAGGGUUACAGUGAUUUCUCACUAUUGAUAUGCUGAAAAUAAUACUGUUUACAUAACACUCGAUGUUUGAAAUCAAUAUGUGCCAGUGUCCGGUGAUUUGCUAAUCUAGUUUUUGAUCUCAACCUGUCCUGUUUUUUGCAGCAUACUUAACUUCAUAUUAUGAAUCAUGUUGUCUUUCUAAAGUGAUUGCCAAGUAAACCAAAAACGUGUUUUACACUGCUAUUGCACUGCUCUUGUCUUUAUAUACAGUAGUUUUUAUAAAGAUGUCCUUAGGUUUUAAUAAAUGAGUGUAAUGUAAACUAUUCUCUGUAAUAAAACUUGCUUUAAUGUUUCAAGACCA
RNA transcript from Gallus gallus (chicken), 8716 nucleotides. It is a transcript of the gene named KIAA1644, with no coding region annotated. The transcript is spliced from 6 exons. The record is from RefSeq and is a predicted model, not a curated record. Lineage: Eukaryota; Metazoa; Chordata; Aves; Galliformes; Phasianidae.